RNAcentral lists this ribosomal RNA (497 nucleotides) under uncultured bacterium. RNAcentral describes it as "partial 16S ribosomal RNA". It matches the Rfam family "Bacterial small subunit ribosomal RNA", at positions 28 to 507 of the family's 1533-position model. The record is from RNAcentral.
GAUGAACGCUGGCGGCGUGCCUAAUACAUGCAAGUCGAGCGAACGGACGAGAAGCUUGCUUCUCUGAUGUUGGCGGCGGACGGGUGAGUAACACGUGGAUAACCUACCUAUAAGACUGGGAUAACUUCGGGAAACCGGAGCUAAUACCGGGUGAGAUUUUGAACCGCAGGGUUCAAAAGUGAAAGACGGUCUUGCUGUCGCUUAUAGAUGGAUCCGCGCUGCAUUAGCUAGUUGGUAAGGUAACGGCUUACCAAGGCAACGAUGCAUAGGCGAGCGGAGAGGGUGAUCGGCGACACUGGAACUGAGACACGCUCCAGACUCCUACGGGAGGCAGCAGAAGGGAAUCUUCCGCAAUGGUCGAAAGCCUUACGGAGCAACGCCGCGUCAGUGAUGGAGGUCUUCGGAUCGUAAUACUCUGUUAUUAGGUAAGAACAUAUGUGUAAGUAACUGUGCCCAUCUUGACGGUACCUACUCAGAAAGCCCCGGCUAACUACGUG